UGAUGUGAUCACCUGGCACCGC
RNAcentral lists this microRNA (22 nucleotides) under Ornithorhynchus anatinus (platypus). RNAcentral describes it as "Oan-Novel-4-P1b_3p* (star (passenger))". Lineage: Eukaryota; Metazoa; Chordata; Mammalia; Monotremata; Ornithorhynchidae. The record is from RNAcentral.